RNAcentral lists this ribosomal RNA (253 nucleotides) under uncultured bacterium. Its description in RNAcentral is "partial 16S ribosomal RNA". It matches the Rfam family "Bacterial small subunit ribosomal RNA", at positions 524 to 776 of the family's 1533-position model. The record is from RNAcentral.
UACGUAGGGGGCAAGCGUUGUCCGGAAUCAUUGGGCGUAAAGAGCGCGUAGGCGGCCCAGUAAGUCCGCUCUGAAAGUCAGGGGCUCAACCCCUGAAUGCGGGUGGAUACUGCUGGGCUAGAGUCCGGAAGAGGCGAGUGGAAUUCCUGGUGUAGCGGUGAAAUGCGCAGAUAUCAGGAGGAACACCGAUGGCGAAGGCAGCUCGCUGGGACGGUACUGACGCUGAGGCGGGAAAGCGUGGGGAGCAAACAGG